Molecule: ribosomal RNA, 256 nt
Filed under: uncultured bacterium
Lineage: Bacteria
Description: partial 16S ribosomal RNA
Rfam family: Bacterial small subunit ribosomal RNA
Source: RNAcentral
UACGAAGGGGGCUAGCGUUGCUCGGAAUCACUGGGCGUAAAGGGUGCGUAGGCGGGUCUUUUAAGUCAGGGGUGAAAUCCUGGAGCUCAACUCCAGAACUGCCUUUGAUACUGAGGAUCUUGAGUUCGGGAGAGGUGAGUGGAACUGCGAAGUGUAGAGGUGAAAUUCGUAGAUAUUCGCAAGAACACCAGUGGCGAAGGCGGCUCACUGGCCCGAUACUGACGCUGAGGCACGAAAGCGUGGGGAGCAAACAGGG